This 768-nucleotide ribosomal RNA is filed under the name Triticum aestivum (bread wheat). Its description in RNAcentral is "partial small subunit ribosomal RNA". Lineage: Eukaryota; Viridiplantae; Streptophyta; Magnoliopsida; Poales; Poaceae. The record is from RNAcentral.
AUGUGUGGCAAUGUGCUUGAUGGAAUAAGGACAGGAGGACAAGUUGGUUCCUGGGGCCGCACACCAGAGUUUUUCCGGGAGCCGAGCUCAUUUGGGCGACCGCAGGGGCAGGGCCCGCCGUGGGAUCCCAGACAGAUGUUCCUGCAGGGUGGUGGCAUUCCACUUCCUGUGAGGGAUAGCAUGCCGCUGCCAGUGAGGGAGAAGAAUGGUGGGCAUCAUGUUGUCAUGCUGAAUGGGGCAGACAUGAAAGGAUAUGGUGAUGCAUCUCAUAAUCAGAUCAUGGUUGGAGCAGCACGAAAUGAGAGUGACGAACACCUAAAGCACUCUCAAUCAGAAGCAGACACCAAACGCGCCAAACAGCAAUAUGCUCAGAGGUCUCGUGUCCGGAAGCUCCAAUACAUUGCAGAGCUCGAGAAAAGAGUUCAAGCCUUACAGACACAAGGGAUAGAAGUUUCAGCUGAAAUGGAUUUUCUUGGUCAACAAAAUAUCAUGUUAGACCUGGAGAACAAAUCCUUGAAACAGCGGCUUGAGAGUUUAUCUCAGGAGCAUGUAAUAAAACGUGUGCAACAGGAGAUGUUUGAGCGGGAAAUAGGUCGUCUUAGAUCAUUGUUCCAGCAGCAGCAGCAACAACAGCACAUACUUCAGCAGCAGACUCCUGCCCACAAUCGUAGUAACAGCAGAGACCUCGAUUCACAAUUCGCAAGCAUGUCUCUGAAACACAACGAGUCAAACUCAGGGCAUGAUGCCGUCCCCGGCCUUCGCAUUUAA